This 406-nucleotide ribosomal RNA is filed under the name uncultured bacterium. Its description in RNAcentral is "partial 16S ribosomal RNA". It matches the Rfam family "Bacterial small subunit ribosomal RNA", at positions 29 to 526 of the family's 1533-position model. The record is from RNAcentral.
AUUGAACGCUGGCGGCAGGCCUAACACAUGCAAGUCGAACGAGGGGCGGACGGGUGAGUAAUGUGUGGGAAACUGCCUGAUGGAGGGGGAUAACUACUGGAAACGGUAGCUAAAACCGCAUACCAUCAGAUGUGCCCAGAUGGGAUUAGAUUGGGGGUGGGGUAACGGCGCACCAAGGCGACUAUCACUAGGUGGUCUGAGAGGAUGACCAGCCACACUGGAACGGAGACACGGUCCAGCCUCCUACGGGAGGCAGCAGUGGGUAAUAUGGCACAAUGGGCGCAAGCGUGCUGCAGCCAUGCCGCGUGUAUGAAGAAGGCCGUCGGGUUGUAAAGUACUUUCAGCGGGGAGGCGUUACCCGCAGAAGAAGCACCGGCUAACUCCGUGCCAGCAGCCGCGGUAAUUC